Molecule: long non-coding RNA, 788 nt
Organism: Canis lupus familiaris (dog)
Lineage: Eukaryota; Metazoa; Chordata; Mammalia; Carnivora; Canidae
Exons: 3
Source: RefSeq, a predicted model, not a curated record
UGCUGGGCCUUUUGGCUCCUGGCCUGCCAUGGCAUCUGUGGCUUCCGCCUUCUCAGGAGUCAGUCACAUCCCCUGGAAUCUUCUUCCUUUCCUCUCCCCUGCUCCCAGUUGUCCUGCUAAGAGGACAUGGCAAUCGGACAGCAGGCUUCUGGAGUCCAGAGUCGAAACCUGCCCAGAGGCUGCCUCCAGGGCAAUAGCGGUGACACUUGCAAGUGGGACGUGGGAUGCGCAGAGCUGUUUAUAAAGGCGGUCCAGGAGUCCUUGAUGCGGUUUGGGUCUGCGAUGGGAAGAUCUCUAUAAACGGGUCAUAAAAUAUGCCGCAUGUUGUGUGCCAAAUGCCUCUGCAGAUACUUGACUCCAUUCUGCAUGUUCAGAUGGCUCCCAGGAAGUAGACACCUUCCUCUGACUCUCAUCUAAUGGGGUUCACUGGUGGUUGCAGCUUGGCCCAUGGGAUCGACUUUGUUCCUUUGUCCAUCCAUAUGUACCUGUACUCGCUCACUCCUACCCCAGAUGUCACUGAGCACUUACUAGGCCAGACACUGCUCAGCCCAGCUGUGGAAAGCUAACUGAGGCAGUCCCCACCUUCGAGAGCUUGAAAGAAACCAACCAUAGCGGGUGAAUAAAUGCUGGGAAAGAACGAAUCCUGGGGUCCUCAGCAUGGUUGUCAGUGCAGAGUUGUUCAGCCCCUUUCACAGAGAAAAUGCAGUGGCAUCUGGUCUGUCAUCAGUACGUAAUACAAUACUUAUUAUAAAUAAGUAUUAUAAUGGUGCUUAUUACUCAGCACCAUU